Long non-coding RNA from Apis cerana (Asiatic honeybee), 2788 nucleotides. RefSeq lists it as uncharacterized. NCBI's taxonomy places the organism in Eukaryota, Metazoa, Arthropoda, Insecta, Hymenoptera, Apidae. The record is from RefSeq and is a predicted model, not a curated record.
AGCUUAUGUAUUAUUUCUAUUUCCUAUUAGAAAUUAUAAAUAAUAAAAAAAAAUUCUAUCCUAAUAUAUAAUAUAUGUUCUAUCAUUUGAGAUAUUAUGUCACUUGAUUUUAUCCUAGAUUUCUAUGAUGUAGGACAAAGAUUCCUUAUGUUAAUCAUACUUAUGUCAAGUAAUAUUAAUUUAAACAUCUAAUUUCUUAAAAAAAAUUAUUUUUUCUAAAACUAGAUCUUAAAUAACUUCAUAAUAUUAUUGCGAAUACUGAAUAAAAAUUGAGAAAACAAAAUGUUGCACAGUAGAUAAGAUUUAAAAUUGCAAUACGAGGAAUAGAUAAUAUAUAAUAUAAUAAUAAUAUAUUAUUUAUUAUAUUUAUUAUUAAAUUUAUUAUAUUUAUCAUUAAUUAUUUUCUCCAACGAUUUGAAAAAGCUAAAAAUUCUAACAAUAUCAUAAUAUCUACCCCUUUUUCGCUAAAUCCCUUAAUUUCAACAUUGAAUCAGGACAAAAGUUCGUUCUUCUCCAGUUUGUCCUCCACACCAUUCCAUUCGCCGGUGCUUCUCGAAUGGUUUAUUCGAAACUCUGGGUCGGCCAGAUGAAUCUGACAUCCUCUAAAGCCGGGCAUAAAAAUGCUGCUCGACUCGUAAAUUAUAUUUAAUAGCGGUUGCUUCGCAUACACGCGUUCGUUAGUUGAUUCUGGUCUGGCGUCGCGACUGUUGCACUCUUAUCGUUCAUUUAAAUUAUUUAUUGGGCGAACGAUAAUUCAUAAUUAAGUCCUCGAUGAAAAAUAAUCGGCCGUCCGUCCAUCGAUCGUGAUUCAGUGCUACCAGAAUGAAUCGUAAUUCUAGAGUGCGCCUUCUAAUUAUACGUUAAAAUACAUCUCCUUACUUAUCAACUUACUGACUCCUCUGCCUCGAAGACAUUGUUGGACAAUGAGCGAGAGAUAUAUAUUUGAGUUAUUAUCAUUAAGACGAAUUGUAUCAUGUGAUAUUGACCUUAAUUUUGGACAGAGGAAGAAAUCUACUAAUUUCAUGAUAUGGGCAAUAUUGCAAUAAUCUAAAUGAAAUAAUACCAUGUUUUUGUACAGUAUAAUUUAUGACAAUUUUAUAUCCCGAAUAAAAUAUACGCGUAAAGAAAUUGGUCUAAUAAAUUACAAAAUAUAUUAUUAACUUUUAUAUCAUUUAAAUAUUAUUAUUAUUGAUACAUAUAUAGCAAUCACAUAAAAUAUUCGAAUAUUAUCUUAGAAGGAAAUUCUACCUAAUUUAAUAAAGAUAAUCUUGAUGAAAAUUUUUAUACAUAUGGAGCAUAAUGGAUUAUGGCUACACGAAGCAAUUUUUUUAUUUUUUCAGCGAAAAAUCUUAUUGAAAGGAUAAAAUUUUACGUUUCGAAAAUAUUUUUUACAAUAAAAUGAUAGAGUAUUUAUACAUAAUGUUAAAUAUAUUCGAAAUAUCGAAAAAGCCCAAAAUAUACACAAAAAUUGUUGUACAAAAAUGUCGAUUAUUGAAAUUUAUUCAAGUUACAAGCAAUUGAAGUUCGUAUUAGUCGAAAUGAUGAUAAUGAAAUGAUGUAGAGUUUUGAGAAGAUCAAAUUUUUGAAUAGAAUCCUAUGUUCUUGUAAUUAAUAUUGAAUUAUAUUCAAAACAUUGUUUAUUAUAUUUUUCAUAUAAUAUAUAAUUGUUGAAUUAUUAAUUUUCAAAGUUCAUUUUAUUAAGCAUUAUUUAAUAUACAUUAUGUGAAAAUUACUCAGUCGGAUUUUAAACCAUAAACCAUGAUGGAUUUAUAUGACAAACAUGCAAUUAUCUAAUAAAAUAUUUACUUGUAACUUGUCAGUAUAUAAUAUCAUCUCCACCGUACAAUUAAGUUAAUGUCUAUUAAUUUUGAAAUUUCGUAAAUUAUAAAAUUGAAUAAUGUCAAAAAUCUUGUGUAUUGAAAUUCGCACUGAUUAUUUGUAUAUUUAAUCAUAUGUAUCUACAGGAAGUCGAACAAUGGAUAUAAAAUUACUUUUACCGAAUUAAUCUGGCUCUCUCUCCCUUUUCACUGUUGCCCCACUGUAAGCUAAACAUAUUGUUUCACGGUCGCAAAAAGGGAGCAGAAAUAUUGCUGAGCGCCUUCGAAAAUAGGAUUCGCAGCUGCACCCUCGUUUGCCAUGGCUUGCAGUAAUUGCCAUAACUUCCGGUACCACUAACAAUCGCGUGACGUUACUAGUGCGAUUCGUUGCAAAUGGCAGCGUCAUUCUAAAUAUAAUGUAUCGAUAAACGAUGGUUUUUCCUUUCUUUUUCUUCGUCCACGGUUACUUUACUGUUUAUCGUGCUUACUGGUUAUCGGCACGUGCGCGACAUUGAAAAGUCACAGUGAUCACGCACUGUUAUUUUAUAAUUGAAAAAUACUUAUAUCGAUACCAAAACAAGUUUUAAACAAUUUCUGCAUAUUUAAUGCAGAGUUAAAAAAAAAAGGAUUAGACUCUAGAAAUUUUUUUUUGUUCGUAUUUUUUAAAAAAUAUUAAUUGUAAUCCUUUUAAUCUUUUAUCUUUAUUUAAUAAAUUAAUUUAAUAGAGAAAAUAAAACAUAGAAAAAUGUCUCUGUUAAUUAUAUUAAAUAGCGAAUGCAAUUAGAGAAGAAUAAAGUAUUAGAAAAUAAAUUUAAAUAAAACAUGAAAUUAUUUGGAAAUUUACUUGAAACAAAUAAAUUUAAGAAGUAAAUGUAACUUAAAUAUCAUUUUAGAAUAUUCAUUCAAAUUUAUUGUAUUUAAGAUAAUUAAAUGAUUCUUUAAUUCCAUUUAAUGUAAAAAAAAAAAAAAGA